This 291-nucleotide long non-coding RNA is filed under the name Bos indicus x Bos taurus (hybrid cattle). Its description in RNAcentral is "lncRNA (ENSBIXG00005028422.1)". The record is from RNAcentral. Lineage: Eukaryota; Metazoa; Chordata; Mammalia; Artiodactyla; Bovidae.
AUUGCCUUGUUUGCAAGAGUAAGUUUUUUCUGACUUGGGGAAUAAAAGGCAUUUUUGCAGACAGUCAAGCCCCCUGAACUCUAGAAAGGCAUCUAGAAGAUAAAGGGAGAUAAUGGAGAACGCUUUCGCACUCUGGGAAUGAGGGGAAAUAAGAAAGACUGUCUCUCCCUUGGCCUCGUUUCUGAACCAGCUUACCCAUCUUUGAAGCUGAACGGCUUCCAAUGCAGAUAUCACAGAAAAGGCAUCAAUGAAAAAGAGCUGCAGCUCAGAGUGAAAACACUGGAGAACUGA